This is a long non-coding RNA of Mus musculus (house mouse), 1471 nucleotides long. RefSeq annotates it as predicted gene, 53776. Lineage: Eukaryota; Metazoa; Chordata; Mammalia; Rodentia; Muridae. The record is from RefSeq and is a predicted model, not a curated record. The transcript has 2 exons.
UUCGUGUAUCUGUCUGUCAUUUUCAUCCAAACUCUUUGUCCAUCUGCCUAAGAAAUCCCGUUCUUCACAGACCAGGGACCCAGAGUGUCUGUGGCAGUUGGCGCCCGAACAGGGACAACUGGGCAGAUUAGUCUUUUCUUUUCUUUCUUUUUUUUUCUUUCUAUUCUUUAUUUUCUCAGGCAAAGAUAGGAUCCCGUGGGACUGCGCUGCAGGCAGGCGGACUGGCGUGUUCGUUAUAAAGACGGAAUGCUACAAGAGCGUGCUAGCUCCCAAAAUGAUUCAUGUGACAGGCUGACCUGUGAGUUCCUGAGUGCCCUGACAGUGGUGACCAGAAAGCUGUAUUGAGUGCACAGAGGAAAAAGAAAUCAGUCAUUCACAAGCAAAAUAAAGAAACUCUUCCUAUCUCCGCCAUGGACUACAACAAGGAGAGCAGACCUGGUGUCAACUUGGAGACAACUAAAACAGCUGACUUGUGAGGUGGAAGGACUGCUACAAAGUAUUGGACAAGAUUUCAUCAGAAACUGUUUUUGGCCAUUCAGGCCAACUCCCCUAUAGCUAUAAAAGCUUGUGUACCUUACCUGUAUGCUUAUUGUUAAAUAAUUUUAAGAGUUAAGAUCACCAAUCUUGACAAGUCUUUUCAUAUACAUUGUAAUUCUUGUUAUUUAACUAAUUGUGUAGAUCCUAAUUUAAAUAAGGAAUCUACUGUUAUGAUUUUGUUAAAAGGAUUCUGCUUAUGUUUUGCUGCCUGUAGAGUUAAAAAUGCUCCUUGGUUUGAGAACUCAGGAUUACAAGCUUUAAAAGACUCAGCCAACUUAUUAGACCUAAGAGAUUUGUAGAAACUUUGAUUUUUAGAAAUAACUACUUUAAUUGCUAUUUUAACUUCCUUUACGUUAUCCACCACAGCCUUAGUACAACAACUGCAUACUGCUCAUUUUGUUAAUGACAUGCAUAAGAAUAUUUCUGUGGCAUUGUCAAAGUUGUAUUUUAUAGAUAAAAAAUUGGAAGCAAAGGUUAACGCCCUAAAAGAAGUCGUGCUGACAAUAGGACAAGAUAUUGCUAAUAUCAAGACCAGGUUAGCUACUAAAUGUCAUGCUUCUUUUCUAUACAUUUAUGUCACUCCUUUACCUUACAACCACUGAUUAGGAAAAGACAAAAACUCAUUUACAGGGUAUAUAGAAAGAUACUGAUAUUUCUCAUGACUUAGAACAGUUAAAGUUAAAAAUUUCAGAUAUUAGUAAAAGCCAUCUGGACACUUGAAACAUUGAUGAAUUGGCUAGAGAUUUAAAGAACAACUUAAGUGCAUUAAACCCUCUAGAUUGGGUUCAAUAUAUUAUCCUACUUGUUAUUAUUUUUGACAUUACUUUAUUAGUAAUCAUUGUGUUUCCACUCAUCUUUAGAGUGCUCCUGAGAUCUGUAGCUACGACAAAGCGGGACAUCCUAGAACUUCGGCUGAGAAAUAAAGAUAAAUUAU